Molecule: ribosomal RNA, 899 nt
Filed under: uncultured Streptococcus sp.
Lineage: Bacteria; Bacillati; Bacillota; Bacilli; Lactobacillales; Streptococcaceae
Description: partial 16S ribosomal RNA
Rfam family: Bacterial small subunit ribosomal RNA (bases 1-801)
Source: RNAcentral
GACGAACGCUGGCGGCGUGCCUAAUACAUGCAAGUAGAACGCUGAAGAGAGGAGCUUGCUCUUCUUGGAUGAGUUGCGAACGGGUGAGUAACGCGUAGGUAACCUGCCUUGUAGCGGGGGAUAACUAUUGGAAACGAUAGCUAAUACCGCAUAACAAUGGAUGACACAUGUCAUUUAUUUGAAAGGGGCAAUUGCUCCACUACAAGAUGGACCUGCGUUGUAUUAGCUAGUAGGUGAGGUAACGGCUCACCUAGGCGACGAUACAUAGCCGACCUGAGAGGGUGAUCGGCCACACUGGGACUGAGACACGGCCCAGACUCCUACGGGAGGCAGCAGUAGGGAAUCUUCGGCAAUGGGGGCAACCCUGACCGAGCAACGCCGCGUGAGUGAAGAAGGUUUUCGGAUCGUAAAGCUCUGUUGUAAGUCAAGAACGAGUGUGAGAGUGGAAAGUUCACACUGUGACGGUAGCUUACCAGAAAGGGACGGCUAACUACGUGCCAGCAGCCGCGGUAAUACGUAGGUCCCGAGCGUUGUCCGGAUUUAUUGGGCGUAAAGCGAGCGCAGGCGGGUUAGAUAACUCUGAAGUUAAAGGCUGUGGCUUAACCAUAGUACGCUUUGGAAACUGUUUAACUUGAGUGCAAGAGGGGGAGAGUGGAGUUCCAUGUGUGAGCGCUAAAAUGCGUAGAUAUAUGGGAGGAACAACGGGGGGCCGCGACCGCUCUCUGGCUUGUAUGUGACGCUGAAGGGUCGCAAACUUGGGAGCGAGAAGUAUAGAUAUGCUUGUAUCAUAGGGAAUUCAUCGUGGAUGGGGGUGAGGGGCCGGGACCCCGAGGAGGGGGCGGGCGGGGGGGGGGGGUGCCCCCGGGGAAAAAAAUAGUAUCGUACUACCGACGGGAGUG